ACCCAAAUUUUUAUCCAGGUUGACCUCGGAUCAGGUAGGGAUACCCGCUGAACUUAAGCAUAUCAAUAAGCGGAGGAAA
RNAcentral lists this ribosomal RNA (79 nucleotides) under uncultured Penicillium. Its description in RNAcentral is "partial 28S ribosomal RNA". The stretch from base 21 to 79 matches the Rfam family "Eukaryotic large subunit ribosomal RNA", at positions 1 to 59 of the family's 3401-position model. The record is from RNAcentral. Lineage: Eukaryota; Fungi; Ascomycota; Eurotiomycetes; Eurotiales; Aspergillaceae.